GCAGGGUGUGGUGGUGCACGCCUAUAAUCCCAGCAGCUGAGGAGGCUGAGGCAGGAGGAUCCUGAGUUCUAAGCCAGCCUCCGCAACACUGAGGACCUAAGCAACUCAGUGAGACCCUGUCUCUA
RNAcentral lists this small RNA (125 nucleotides) under Marmota monax (woodchuck). Lineage: Eukaryota; Metazoa; Chordata; Mammalia; Rodentia; Sciuridae. The record is from RNAcentral.